GGUUAAGCGACUAAGCGUACACGGUGGAUGCCCUGGCAGUCAGAGGCGAUGAAGGACGUGCUAAUCUGCGAUAAGCGUCGGUAAGGUGAUAUGAACCGUUAUAACCGGCGAUUUCCGAAUGGGGAAACCCAGUGUGAUUCGUCACACUAUCAUUAACUGAAUCCAUAGGUUAAUGAGGCGAACCGGGGGAACUGAAACAUCUAAGUACCCCGAGGAAAAGAAAUCAACCGAGAUUCCCCCAGUAGCGGCGAGCGAACGGGGAGCAGCCCAGAGCCUGAAUCAGUGUGUGUGUUAGUGGAAGCGUCUGGAAAGGCGUGCGAUACAGGGUGACAGCCCCGUACACAAAAAUGCACAUACUGUGAGCUCGAUGAGUAGGGCGGGACACGUGGUAUCCUGUCUGAAUAUGGGGGGACCAUCCUCCAAGGCUAAAUACUCCUGACUGACCGAUAGUGAACCAGUACCGUGAGGGAAAGGCGAAAAGAACCCCGGCGAGGGGAGUGAAAAAGAACCUGAAACCGUGUACGUACAAGCAGUGGGAGCACGCUUAGGCGUGUGACUGCGUACCUUUUGUAUAAUGGGUCAGCGACUUAUAUUCUGUAGCAAGGUUAACCGAAUAGGGGAGCCGAAGGGAAACCGAGUCUUAACUGGGCGUUAAGUUGCAGGGUAUAGACCCGAAACCCGGUGAUCUAGCCAUGGGCAGGUUGAAGGUUGGGUAACACUAACUGGAGGACCGAACCGACUAAUGUUGAAAAAUUAGCGGAUGACUUGUGGCUGGGGGUGAAAGGCCAAUCAAACCGGGAGAUAGCUGGUUCUCCCCGAAAGCUAUUUAGGUAGCGCCUCGUGAAUUCAUCUCCGGGGGUAGAGCACUGUUUCGGCAAGGGGGUCAUCCCGACUUACCAACCCGAUGCAAACUGCGAAUACCGGAGAAUGUUAUCACGGGAGACACACGGCGGGUGCUAACGUCCGUCGUGAAGAGGGAAACAACCCAGACCGCCAGCUAAGGUCCCAAAGUCAUGGUUAAGUGGGAAACGAUGUGGGAAGGCCCAGACAGCCAGGAUGUUGGCUUAGAAGCAGCCAUCAUUUAAAGAAAGCGUAAUAGCUCACUGGUCGAGUCGGCCUGCGCGGAAGAUGUAACGGGGCUAAACCAUGCACCGAAGCUGCGGCAGCGACGCUUAUGCGUUGUUGGGUAGGGGAGCGUUCUGUAAGCCUGUGAAGGUGUGCUGUGAGGUAUGCUGGAGGUAUCAGAAGUGCGAAUGCUGACAUAAGUAACGAUAAAGCGGGUGAAAAGCCCGCUCGCCGGAAGACCAAGGGUUCCUGUCCAACGUUAAUCGGGGCAGGGUGAGUCGACCCCUAAGGCGAGGCCGAAAGGCGUAGUCGAUGGGAAACAGGUUAAUAUUCCUGUACUUGGUGUUACUGCGAAGGGGGGACGGAGAAGGCUAUGUUGGCCGGGCGACGGUUGUCCCGGUUUAAGCGUGUAGGCUGGUUUUC
This 1488-nucleotide ribosomal RNA is filed under the name Shigella flexneri. Its description in RNAcentral is "partial 23S ribosomal RNA". It matches the Rfam family "Bacterial large subunit ribosomal RNA", at positions 1 to 1533 of the family's 2925-position model. Lineage: Bacteria; Pseudomonadati; Pseudomonadota; Gammaproteobacteria; Enterobacterales; Enterobacteriaceae. The record is from RNAcentral.